AGGAGACACACACAAGGAAGAAGCAGGAGAGACAUGAGACACAAAGAGAGACAGAGGAAGAGACUGAGGUGGUGGAGUGCAUGUCCCCAAUUCCCUGUUGCCGCUCAGCGCUGAAACAGCCGGUGGAGGGCGUGUCCCCGAUUCUGUGUCCCCGCUCAAUGGUGAAGCAGCCGGUGGAGGCCUCAGCUCCUCUGUCGGGUACCUCGGAUGUAACACUGGCAGAGGGUCCUGUCCCUGGAUUCAGGCGGCCUGGUCCUGCCUCCUAAGCCUGGUUCCAUGCAUCCUGGUCCUGGUUCCACACCGCGUCCUGGUUCUUGGUGAGGCAGACGUCAGCAACCCGGUUCCAGGCAUCACUGUUGGAUAUCUACCCACACUGCACCCAAUCACCUCCUCCUCCUCCUCCUACCACGGAUAUGGAAACAAGGCAGAGGUUUUGUUCUACCACUUGAGGACAUCUUGACGUGAACAUGCAGGGAACAUCAGAGAGUUUGACAUAAUGUCCCUGCUGUGGAGUAGACCAUUCCACUGCUGCUGUAUCAGUUCAAACCUCCACUAUGCUCUGCGUGGCUGCUGGACUGACCCAUUUAUCCAAGCAGGGGGAGCAAUUCAAACUUGUUAAGGCAGUGGACAACUCUAA
Molecule: long non-coding RNA, 637 nt
Organism: Paralichthys olivaceus (Japanese flounder)
Lineage: Eukaryota; Metazoa; Chordata; Actinopteri; Pleuronectiformes; Paralichthyidae
Source: RefSeq, a predicted model, not a curated record